GAUGAACGCUAGCGGCAGGCUUAACACAUGCAAGUCGAGGGGUAGAAGCAGCUUGCUGCUUUGAGACCGGCGCACGGGUGCGUAACGCGUAUGCAAUCUACCUUUUACAGAGGGAUAGCCCAGAGAAAUUUGGAUUAAUACCUCAUAGUAUGUGAGAAUCGCAUGGUUUUCACAUUAAAGUUCCAACGGUAAAGAUGAGCAUGCGUCCCAUUAGCUAGAUGGUAAGGUAACGGCUUACCAUGGCGACGAUGGGUAGGGGUCCUGAGAGGGAGAUCCCCCACACUGGUACUGAGACACGGACCAGACUCCUACGGGAGGCAGCAGUGAGGAAUAUUGGACAAUGGGCGCAAGCCUGAUCCAGCCAUGCCGCGUGCAGGAUGACGGUCCUAUGGAUUGUAAACUGCUUUUGUACAGGAAGAAACACUCCCUCGUGAGGGAGCUUGACGGUACUGUAAGAAUAAGGAUCGGCUAACUCCGUG
Molecule: ribosomal RNA, 479 nt
Filed under: uncultured bacterium
Lineage: Bacteria
Description: bacterial SSU rRNA
Rfam family: Bacterial small subunit ribosomal RNA
Source: RNAcentral